Molecule: ribosomal RNA, 713 nt
Filed under: uncultured bacterium
Lineage: Bacteria
Description: bacterial SSU rRNA
Rfam family: Bacterial small subunit ribosomal RNA
Source: RNAcentral
GUGCCAGCCGCCGCGGUAAUACGUAGGUGGCAAGCGUUGUCCGGAUUUAUUGGGCGUAAAGCGAGCGCAGGCGGUUUCUUAAGUCUGAUGUGAAAGCCCCCGGCUCAACCGGGGAGGGUCAUUGGAAACUGGGAGACUUGAGUGCAGAAGAGGAGAGUGGAAUUCCAUGUGUAGCGGUGAAAUGCGUAGAUAUAUGGAGGAACACCAGUGGCGAAGGCGGCUCUCUGGUCUGUAACUGACGCUGAGGCUCGAAAGCGUGGGGAGCGAACAGGAUUAGAUACCCUGGUAGUCCACGCCGUAAACGAUGAGUGCUAAGUGUUGGAGGGUUUCCGCCCUUCAGUGCUGCAGCAAACGCAUUAAGCACUCCGCCUGGGGAGUACGACCGCAAGGUUGAAACUCAAAGGAAUUGACGGGGGCCCGCACAAGCGGUGGAGCAUGUGGUUUAAUUCGAAGCAACGCGAAGAACCUUACCAGGUCUUGACAUCCUUUGACCACUCUAGAGAUAGAGCUUCCCCUUCGGGGGCAAAGUGACAGGUGGUGCAUGGUUGUCGUCAGCUCGUGUCGUGAGAUGUUGGGUUAAGUCCCGCAACGAGCGCAACCCUUAUUGUUAGUUGCCAUCAUUUAGUUGGGCACUCUAGCGAGACUGCCGGUGACAAACCGGAGGAAGGUGGGGAUGACGUCAAAUCAUCAUGCCCCUUAUGACCUGGGCUACA